Molecule: transfer RNA, 74 nt
Filed under: Perkinsus olseni
Lineage: Eukaryota; Perkinsozoa; Perkinsida; Perkinsidae
Description: tRNA-Val
Source: RNAcentral
GCUGGAAUGGUCUAGUUGGUUUUAGCGACUGCCUAACACGCAGUAGGUCCCGAGUUCAACUCUCGGUUCUACUA